CUACCCUCGACAUGCUCUGGAAUCUAACGGAGACAUAAAAGUGCCCGAAAGGGAACCAAGACACAGGUGCUGCAUGGCUGUCCUCGGCUCGUGUCAUGAGAUGUUGGGUUAAUUCCCCCAACGAGCGCAACCCUUGUCACUAUUUGCUAUCAGUUUAAUGAGCACUUUAGUGAGACUGCCGGUGACAAACCGGAGGAAGGUGGGGAUGAAGUCAAGUCCUCAUGGCCCUUAUGGGUAGGGCUUCACACGUAAUACAAUGGCGCGUACAGAGGGUUGCCAACCCGCGAGGGGGAGCCAAUCUCAGAAAGCGCGUCGUAGUCCGGAUCGAAGUCUGCAACUCGACUUCGUGAAGUCGGAAUCGCUAGUAAUCGCGGAUCAGCAUGCCGCGGGGAAUACGUUCCCGGGUCUUGGACACACCG
This 419-nucleotide ribosomal RNA is filed under the name bacterium enrichment culture. Its description in RNAcentral is "bacterial SSU rRNA". It matches the Rfam family "Bacterial small subunit ribosomal RNA", at positions 975 to 1392 of the family's 1533-position model. The record is from RNAcentral.